Long non-coding RNA from Calypte anna (Anna's hummingbird), 643 nucleotides. RefSeq lists it as uncharacterized. Lineage: Eukaryota; Metazoa; Chordata; Aves; Apodiformes; Trochilidae. The transcript is spliced from 3 exons. The record is from RefSeq and is a predicted model, not a curated record.
GUCCCUUACAAAGACCCUUCAGGCUCCCUCAGCAGUCUCUGUACAGUAACUCUGUGCUUGUUCCUGGACCAUGCACCUCUCUGCACUGGAGAAGCCAGCACUGCCAUCCCAGUGGUGGAGCAAUUGCAUACCAGGGUUCCUUCGUGGUUCCAGGCACCAUUUCUCAGAGGGUGAAGUAGGUAUUCCCUGCCUGAUUAAGGAGUGCCCACAGCUGACUGACUCACUAACACACCUUGCUCUGAGAGAAAUCACAGCAGCAGAAGGAUGUUGUUUGGAGAAGCAAAGAAAGUGCUUACUAAAGGGAGAGGUUCUACAGCUGAUUAUCUUCAUGACCCUCCUCUGGACUUGCUCCAAGGGCUCCAUGUUCUUCUCAUGUUGGGGGCUCCACAACUGGACACCGGCAAGGAUCCCAUGAGAGCAGCACUCAGCGCGCCCAUCAGGAAGCACGUUCUUCAAGAAAUGCUGUAGAUGAGUUCUACCUCAUUGACUCUCUGUGACCCUUGGUUAGGUCUUCAGCGAGCUUUACUGAAUGCACAUGAGAAGAAUUAAGUUGAAACCAAUAAAGACACCCUCAGUGAACAGACCCUGUGUGUCCUGCGGUCAGAACUGAGAAGGAGCCGGCGGCUCCCACCAGCCACCCAGC